Molecule: long non-coding RNA, 366 nt
Filed under: Nicotiana benthamiana
Lineage: Eukaryota; Viridiplantae; Streptophyta; Magnoliopsida; Solanales; Solanaceae
Description: long non-coding RNA (NBEN_LNC014301)
Source: RNAcentral
CUCAUAUCCAACUCCUCGAGCAUCUCAAGGUUUCCAAUGGACCUAGGGAGUGAUUGCAUGUCUGCAAAAUUGUUGCUAAUGUUUAACUUUACCAGGGUGGUGGCAAAGCACAAGCUCUCAGGUACUGACUCAAGUUCAUUGAAACUAACAUUGAGCUCUUUCAAACUUGUUAAGGAUGCCAUAGUCGUAGGCAAUUGCCUGCUUUAACAGUGUGGUGGCAAAGCACAAGCUCUCAGGCACUGACUCAAGUUCAUUGAAACUAACAUUGAGCUCUUUCAAACUUGUUAAGGAUGCCAUAGUCGUAGGCAAUUGCCUGAUGUUAUUGUAUCGCACGGACAGAAUCUCCAAAGAACCCAUUCGUCCCAC